Molecule: ribosomal RNA, 595 nt
Filed under: uncultured Polaromonas sp.
Lineage: Bacteria; Pseudomonadati; Pseudomonadota; Betaproteobacteria; Burkholderiales; Comamonadaceae
Description: bacterial SSU rRNA
Rfam family: Bacterial small subunit ribosomal RNA
Source: RNAcentral
ACGGGUGAGUAAUAUAUCGGAACGUGCCCAAUCGUGGGGGAUAACGUAGAGAAAUUUACGCUAAUACCGCAUACGAUCUAAGGAUGAAAGCGGGGGAUCGCAAGACCUCGCGCGAUUGGAGCGGCUGAUAUCAGAUUAGGUUGUUGGUGAGGUAAAAGCUCACCAAGCCGACGAUCUGUAGCUGGUUUGAGAGAACGACCAGCCACACUGGGACUGAGACACGGCCCAGACUCCUACGGGAGGCAGCAGUGGGGAAUUUUGGACAAUGGGCGAAAGCCUGAUCCAGCAAUGCCGCGUGCAGGAAGAAGGCCUUCGGGUUGUAAACUGCUUUUGUACGGAACGAAACGGUCUGCCCUAAUACGGCGGGCUAAUGACGGUACCGUAAGAAUAAGCACCGGCUAACUACGUGCCAGCAGCCGCGGUAAUACGUAGGGUGCGAGCGUUAAUCGGAAUUACUGGGCGUAAAGCGUGCGCAGGCGGUUAUGUAAGACAGUUGUGAAAUCCCCGGGCUCAACCUGGGAAUUGCAUCUGUGACUGCAUAGCUAGAGUACGGUAGAGGGGGAUGGAAUUCCGCGUGUAGCAGUGAAAUGCGUAG